RNAcentral lists this long non-coding RNA (4920 nucleotides) under Sus scrofa (pig). RNAcentral describes it as "lncRNA (ENSSSCG00000054664.1)". The record is from RNAcentral. Lineage: Eukaryota; Metazoa; Chordata; Mammalia; Artiodactyla; Suidae.
UUAUUCACCUGAUAAGUCACUCCAUCAGACUUUUAAUACAACUGGCUAUGUCAUAGGAUUUUUCCUGGUAAACUUACUUCCACCUUUAACCAAUCCACCAUGGUUGUUCCAGUGGGCAAGUCUCAGCCAUGCUACUCACAUUGCCCAGUUUACCUAUAACCAUGCUUAGAGACAAUAUAGGAAAUGCUCAGCCCUUUUGCACUCUUUCUUGGUCUUUCAUUUUAUUUAUUUAUUUGGCCACACCCUCAGCAUAUGGAAGUUCCAUGGCCAAGGAUGAAAUCCGAGCCACAGCUGCAGCCUACACCACAUAUAUCCUGAUCUUGGUUUCAUUGUUUUUUUCUUCACCCUCCCACUCACAAACUAAUGAUUAGCUUGCAAUUUCUUAACCAGUUCCUAUUCUGCUGGAAUUGCAGAAUAGGAGAAAACUCAAAAAGAAUUUUCAUCUUUUUUUUUUUUUUUUUACUGGUUUUAGUUGUGCCAUAUGAUUUCAGGUUUUUUUGAACCAUUUGUGUAAUCUGUUUAAAAUUUUAUUAUUGUUAAGAGACAGCAUAAUACCAUAAUGGUCAUGUUGAGGCAACAUGGCUUUUAGGUUCCGUCACAUCUUUGAUGAGUUAUGGUAAUCAGUUUGUUAACAUCUAUAACCUCAUUUUUUUCUCUCUGUAACUAGUCUUUAACCCCUGCAUCUUAGAUUUCUGAAAACUUAAUAAGAUACGAAUUUGAAAUGGAAGCAACAUUAUUGAGACAUGCUAGCCAUUACUAUGACUACUACUUUCACUCCCACUAAUAUUGCCACAUUAAACUGUUUGGAAGCUAUGUUACUGCUCCUUUUCAAAGGAUUCUCAUUGCUGUGUAUAUGCUUUUUAGCAUUAAAAAAAAAUGGAUGAAUUGUGCCUUAAAUGCAUGUUCUUUGCUUUCACUAAAUAGACAGCAUACAGGUUGAAAAAGGCUAGAGACUUAUCUUGUCCUACAUCUGAUUUUUUUUUUUUUUUUGAGUUGCUGUGCUAUGGAGUAAAACACGAGCAUGCCAAUAAAUUGAUGUCUCAACCUUUAGAGUUGAAAACUUGCUGUGGCUAAAGUCCCAAGGCUGGAUGCCUAUGGCCACAAGCAGCCAUAACUCUUUAACCCUCAGUUUCCAUGCAUGCUAUGAUGUGAUAGUUGGAAGGCCUUAGUCUAAGAGCAACUCUGCCAACAGAUGAUGAAUUUGGUAAAUUCUCUGCAUGUAACUAGUGUGUAUACUGUCAUAUGCACGUACAUUUUUGCUUGUAUAUUUAUUUUUAUUUUAUAUAUUUCAAUUGAGGAAUGAUUUAUGGAGUGUAUAGUAUUGAACUAAUCAUACCAAAGUUUUAAGAGAAUUGAUCAUUCUACUGUAUUGUGAGAAGGAGGGCAGUUUAUUAAAAUCAAACAGCAUUCAUUUUAGAGAAUAGUUAGAGAUUAUCUGUCAGAAGAAUUUAGUUGCCUGGUCCAUGAGAUAGUUAAGUAAUUAUUAUUGAAUUUAAUAUGUAAAUAAUAGUAUGUUUCAAGUCUUUAUUAAACUCAUUGGGUUUUCUGUACCACAUGAAGUACUUAAUAAAUGUUCCUUAAAGGAAUAUCUAUCUUGUAAAAAUGCUUUGAUCAUUUUUUAGGGAAAUGAGAUAAGUGGACAAUAUGGAGGGUGAGGUUUUAGAUUUAUUCGUUUAAAUUUUGUGUCAAAAUUAUUAUGGAAAGAGGCUAUGUUUUUUCAUAAAAGAUCUGGAGCAACCGUAGAGGCAGAAUUAUAAAGUGAAUGAAUUAAAAUUGUGUUUUUAAAAAAGCAUCAUCUGGAGUGUCAUGGGAUGUUCCUUUGCCUUCUCAUAGAAACCAGUUUUCUCAUCUUUAUGUUUGGAAAUUACAAAUUACCGUCAACCUAUAGUGAACUUUUGCAGAUAUCAUUUUGUGCUUUAUAUAAUCCAGGAUACUGUACACUCCCUUUUGUCUUGUGUGCAGGCAUUUUCCCGCUGCAUUCCCACUAUUGUGAAGCUUUCCAUUGAGGGCACAUGUUUCUAUAUCCUAGUCUCAUUUUAUUUAAAUAUUCUGCUGUGGUUGAUUAACCACAAGCUAUAUAAGCAGUAAAAAGAAGGAAAAAGAAAUAACUUCAUACAGAAUUAUUGUCAAUAGAAGGUGACACAGGCUGAAGUAAUAAUAAAAGUUAAAUGGAGAAUAUAUCAAAUUAAUGUAUGGCAUAAUCCCAAACUCCAUGAAAGGUUUGGUUUACUGCGAUGUUAGGGGAAGCAAUAACCUUUAUAUAAAAGCCACCUACUGAGAGACUAAGAUGAAAUUUUAGUAUGUCUGUGUAAUUUUCUUUGUAAUGAUGUUAUAACAGUCUACAUUCUUUAUAACAAAUAUGUAUAAGCAUAGAUUCAGGAAUAAACUAUGUCAUUAUCUGCUAUGGGAAGCUAAUAGGAAAUAAAGUGUUAUAAAGCAUGAAUUUAUAAAGCCUUGUCCAGAGGUAAGAAACAAUUCUGGAUUAUUGGCACUGAUUAUGUCAGUCAUUCACCAAAAAGAAAAUAAAUAAAUCAUCAAAUAUUAGAAAUGAUAGUACACCUGUUAAAGCUCAAGAAGAUAGUUACAGGUAAGUAAAAGAAUAUUUUAUUUUACUUAGUGGGAAUAAACAUAAGAAAACUAUAACCCUAAUCGAGUAGCCACAAGUUGUUAUGGGAAGUGAUGGGUGUUAGGACGUUCCUCUUUUUUUUUUUUUUUUUUUUUUUUUUUUGUCUUUUGCCUUUUUAGGCCCACACCUGCGGCAUAUGGAAGUUCCCAGGAUAGGGCUUGAAUGGGAGUCAUUGCUGCUGGCUUAUGCCUGACCUAUAUCACAGCUCAUGGGAACGCCAGAUCCUUAACCCACUGAGUUAGGCCAGGGAUUGAACCUGCAACCUCAUUGUUCCUAGUCAGAUUCAUUUCUGCCGCACCAAGACGGGAACUCCAGGACCAUUCCUCUUAUAUUCUGAGUGUGACAGAUUGUAUGGUAACCAAGUGUUCUCAUCUUAUAUCUCUAUGUAUCAUUUUUGAAUGGGAUUAAAAGACUGAAUGUGCAUGGUGCGUGCAUAUUCUAGGCAUCAAUAGUGCCAGUAGCAAUAGCAGCAGCACUGGCAUCGGCUGUCUCAGAGACAAAUUUAUACCUGUGGUAUCCUUUCUCUUUUGGAUGUAAUAGUGAAGGAAAGCUGGAGAUAAUUUAGGCAGGACCUCUCCCAGCCGAGUCACCGCAUUUUAAAAUUAUGUCCCUUAACUUCUCAGAACCAGAAACUGUGUGUUGUCAGUGUAGUCAGGAUUAACUAAGAUUUUUUAAACUUGGAAAGGCUUCAUAUGUAAGCUGGAAAUACUAAUUUAUGAAUAAGAAUUCUUUCAGUGAUCAAAAGGCUUAAAAACACUCUCAAGAGCCAACUACUCUCUCAUAGUAAGAAGCUACAUAGAAAACAAAAUUGCCCAAUAGAAAGCUCCUCCUCGGAUGGUAUUAAAAAAAGAAUACACAUGGUUUAAAGGUAAAGUUUCAUGAGAAAUUAUUUCUAUUUCACAGUGGAGAAUUGGACUUCUCAAGCCCUUUAAAUCUUAUAUAGUCCCCUUGAACAGUGCUAAAUGCUUGACAAGACAGGGCUCUUAUGGAUUUCUUGGAUCAAUUUCCAUUCUAUCUGAUCCUUUUGUUGGCACAUAUCAUAUUUGGAUCAGUUAGUAUCAAAGUUUAUUAAAGAACUGCUUUACUAGUCUAAGAGUCCCUGUUUUCAUACACUUUCUGAAUUAGCCCAGCUCUCUGAGUUCUUGAAGUUUUUAUUGUGCAAAUUUCAAUUUGCAUAGAAUUCCAGACUCACCAACGUCACUCCCUUCAAUCACAGUGAUUUAUGUGUGUGCCACAGAAUGAUUAUCCCAACAUCUUUGCAUCAUUUCUCUAAUCUCCGAAGUGGCUUCAGCCAAUAAAUAUCAGAAAAACUGAGUUCUGGAUGAUGCAGAUGGAGGAGCAGACUUUUCCACUGACCUCUCACUUUGAGGAAAGUAUCUAAGCAUGGGGUCCUAGAGUACUUCCCUGGGAGUCCAUGGAGAUUUUCCUGCACCCCCCCCCAAAAAAAAAUGCUAAUAGCUACCAUUUAUGAAAGACCUGCUGUGAGCCAGUCAGUAUUACUAAGGAGUUUACAUAUAGCUCUAAUUUCAUCUUGACAAAAUUGAAUAUGAUAGACAUUAUUAAAUUCAUUUAAAAAUUAAUAAACUGGAGCUCAGAUAAAUUAAGAUAAAUAAUUGAGGUUAUUAAGAUCAGUGAGUGGGAGGAAUUCCCAUUGUGGCUCAGUGGGUUAAGAACCCAACUAAUAUCCUGAGGAUGUGGGUUCAAUCCCUUGCUAGACUCAGUGGGUUAAGGAUCUGGUGUUGUUGCAAGCUGUAGUAUAGGUCGCAUUGUAGGAGAAAAUGUCCUGAUAAAAAGGUAGAAAGGACAGAUCCUGGCCAUAAUGACUAAGUGAAGUCCAGCCAACUGCCCCUAACCACCCUCCCCCAUGCAUCUGCUUCUGUAAACUUGCUUCCACAUCUACUACCUUGCCUGACCUCACUCCAGUCUGCCAAGCACAGACCUGGAAGAGCUAACCCAUAAAAGCCUUAUGAAACCCUUCUUCGGGGCUCAGACUCUGGAGAGUGAUCUCCUCUGACUCUGAGCAUGCCGGCAUAAUAAACCUGAGUUCUCCAGCUCUCUGAGAGUGCUUGCUUGGUUUCUCGCUGGGUAAAAGAUCUGAUACAUGAUACACCGCAGCCACGGAGCUGCUGGAGCUGCUACACUACAGCCUCAGGGCUGUCGCUAGAGCUGGUACACUGCAGCUGCAGGACUGCUGGGCAGUUGCCGUAGCAGCAGACACAGCUCAGAUAUUAGCAAGCAACUGCCGCUCUGAUCCUACCCCUAGCUUGGGAAUGUUCCUCUGCUGCAGGUGUGGU